This is a long non-coding RNA of Peromyscus maniculatus bairdii (prairie deer mouse), 273 nucleotides long. RefSeq lists it as uncharacterized. NCBI's taxonomy places the organism in Eukaryota, Metazoa, Chordata, Mammalia, Rodentia, Cricetidae. The record is from RefSeq and is a predicted model, not a curated record.
UUUCAGAGGAUGAGUCCAGGAACGUCAUGGUGGGAAGCAUGGCAACAGUGCCCCAGGACUCUACCAGCAAGAAGACCAUUCCCAGAUGAGGCCCCUCAACCUUGAACUCCAGGCCUGUGAGCAAAUAUCAACGUCUUUCCUUGAUGAAGUUACAUGCCCUCGUAUUUCAACACAGUAACAGAAAAUGGACUAGUAUAAAGAACAACCUUAGGACUGCCUCAUAUUUUAUUAAAUUUGUAAAAUAUUUGGCACAGUAAAAACCCUCCACAUCUG